GACGAACGCUGGCGGCGUGCCUAAUACAUGCAAGUAGAACGCUGAAGAGAGGAGCUUGCUCUUCUUGGAAGAGUUGCGAACGGGUGAGUAACGCGUAGGUAACCUGCCUUGUAGCGGGGGAUAACUAUUGGAAGCGAUAGCUAAUACCGCAUAACAAUGGAUGACCCAUGUCAUUUCUUUGAAAGGGGCAACUGCUCCACUACAAGAUGGACCUGCGUUGUAUUAGCUAGUAGGUGAGGUAACGGCUCACCUAGGCGACGAUACAUAGCCGACCUGCGAGGGUGAUCGGCCACACUGGGACUAAGGGACGGCCCAGACUCCUUCGGGAGGCAGCAGUAGGGAAUCUUCGGGAAUGGGGGCAACCCUGAGCGAGCAAAGCCGCGGGAGUGAAGAAGGUUUUCGGAUCGUAAAGCUCUGUUGUAAGUCAAGAACGAGUGUGAGAGUGGAAAGUUCACACUGUGACGGUAGCUUACCAGAAAGGGACGGCUAACUACGUGCCAGCCGCCGCAGUAA
Molecule: ribosomal RNA, 513 nt
Filed under: uncultured bacterium
Lineage: Bacteria
Description: partial 16S ribosomal RNA
Rfam family: Bacterial small subunit ribosomal RNA
Source: RNAcentral